Molecule: ribosomal RNA, 924 nt
Filed under: uncultured bacterium
Lineage: Bacteria
Description: bacterial SSU rRNA
Rfam family: Bacterial small subunit ribosomal RNA
Source: RNAcentral
GCAAGCGUUACUCGGGAAUCACUGGGCGUAAAGCGCGCGCAGGCGGCUUUGUAAGUUGGGAUGUGAAAUCCUAUGGCUCAACCCAUAGAAACUGCAUCCAAAACUACUUAGCUAGAGUCUGGGAGGGGAGGAUGGAAUUAGUGGUGUAGGGGUAAAAUCCGUAGAGAUCACUAGGAAUACCAAAAGCGAAGACGAUCUUCUGGAACAGUACUGACGCUGAGGCGCGAAAGCGUGGGGAGCAAACAGGAUUAGAUACCCUGGUAGUCCACGCCCUAAACGAUGAAUGUUAGUCGUCGGAGAGCUCGUCUCUUCGGUGAUGCAGCUAACGCAUUAAACAUUCCGCCUGGGGAGUACGGUCGCAAGAUUAAAACUCAAAGGAAUAGACGGGGACCCGCACAAGUGGUGGAGCAUGUGGUUUAAUUCGAAGAUACGCGAAGAACCUUACCUGGCCUUGACAUUGAUGGAAUCUGCUAGAGAUAGCGGAGUGCCCUUCGGGGAGCUUGAAAACAGGUGCUGCACGGCUGUCGUCAGCUCGUGUCGUGAGAUGUUGGGUUAAGUCCCGCAACGAGCGCAACCCUCGUCACUAGUUACUAACGGUUCGGCCGAGGACUCUAGUGAGACUGCCUUCGUAAGGAGGAGGAAGGUGAGGACGACGUCAAGUCAUCAUGGCCCUUACGGUCAGGGCGACACACGUGCUACAAUGGGAUGUACAAUGAGACGCAAUACCGCGAGGUGGAGCAAAUCUAUAAAACAUCUCUCAGUUCGGAUUGUAGUCUGCAACUCGACUACAUGAAGCUGGAAUCACUAGUAAUCGUAGAUCAGCCAUGCUACGGUGAAUACGUUCCCGGGUCUUGUACUCACCGCCCGUCACACCAUGGGAGUUGAUUUCACCCGAAGCGGGGAAGCAAAACGGCUGCCUCCACG